ACCCAUCCAACUCUGAAGAUA
Molecule: microRNA, 21 nt
Filed under: Glycine max (soybean)
Lineage: Eukaryota; Viridiplantae; Streptophyta; Magnoliopsida; Fabales; Fabaceae
Description: gma-miR9763
Source: miRBase by way of RNAcentral